CACGUAGGGUGCGAGCGUUGUCCGGAAUUAUUGGGCGUAAAGAGCUCGUAGGCGGUGUGUCGCGUCGGCCGUGAAAACCUGCAGCUUAACUGUGGGCUUGCGGUCGAUACGGGCAUCACUGGAGUUCGGCAGGGGAGACUGGAAUUCCUGGUGUAGCGGUGAAAUGCACAGAUAUCAGGAGGAACACCGGUGGCGAAGGCGGGUCUCUGGGCCGAUACUGACGCUGAGGAGCGAAAGCGUGGGGAGCGAACAGG
This 254-nucleotide ribosomal RNA is filed under the name uncultured bacterium. RNAcentral describes it as "partial 16S ribosomal RNA". It matches the Rfam family "Bacterial small subunit ribosomal RNA", at positions 524 to 776 of the family's 1533-position model. The record is from RNAcentral.